CCUACGGGGCGCAGCAGUGAGGAAUAUUGGUCAAUGGGCGGAAGCCUGAACCAGCCAAGUAGCGUGCAGGAUGACGGCCCUACGGGUUGUAAACUGCUUUUAUACGGGAAUAACGCGCCUUACGUGUAGGGUUUUGCAUGUACCGUAUGAAUAAGGACCGGCUAAUUCCGUGCCAGCAGCCGCGGUAAUACGGAAGGUCCGGGCGUUAUCCGGAUUUAUUGGGUUUAAAGGGAGCGUAGGCCGCAUGUCAAGCGUGCUGUGAAAUGUCCGGGCUCAACCCGGGCCUUGCAGCGCGAACUGGCGUGCUUGAGUCCGCGGAAAGCAGGCGGAAUUCGUCGUGUAGCGGUGAAAUGCUUAGAUAUGACGAAGAACCCCGAUUGCGAAGGCAGCUUGCUGCAGCGGAACUGACGCUGAUGCUCGAAAGCGCGGGUAUCGAACAGGAUUAGAUACCCUUGUAGUC
Molecule: ribosomal RNA, 460 nt
Filed under: uncultured bacterium
Lineage: Bacteria
Description: partial 16S ribosomal RNA
Rfam family: Bacterial small subunit ribosomal RNA
Source: RNAcentral